RNAcentral lists this ribosomal RNA (253 nucleotides) under uncultured bacterium. RNAcentral describes it as "partial 16S ribosomal RNA". It matches the Rfam family "Bacterial small subunit ribosomal RNA", at positions 524 to 776 of the family's 1533-position model. The record is from RNAcentral.
UACGAAGGGGGCGAGCGUUGUUCGGAGUUACUGGGCGUAAAGGGCGCGUAGGCGGCGAUCCAAGUUAGGCGUGAAAGCCCCGGGCUUAACCUGGGAAUUGCGCUUAAGACUGGACUGCUUGAGUGCGGGAGAGGUGAGUGGAAUUCCCAGUGUAGAGGUGAAAUUCGUAGAGAUGUGGAGGAACACCGAUGGCGAAGGCAGCCUCCUGGGCCAAUACUGACGCUCAUGCACGAAAGCGUGGGGAGCAAACAGG